Molecule: non-coding RNA, 1084 nt
Organism: Drosophila suzukii
Lineage: Eukaryota; Metazoa; Arthropoda; Insecta; Diptera; Drosophilidae
Source: RefSeq, a predicted model, not a curated record
GAGGAAGGCACGUACUUCCUUCAUGGAUUUCGGGUAAGGCAUCUUCUGGAUUGCCGUAACACGUCCAGGAUCCAUCUGCAGCAGUCCACCUCCGACUAUAAACCCUAGACUGUGGGCUACCCGACGCAAGUAUUUCAGGUGCGUCUGAAAGUCUGGAGCCAGGAUUAGCAGGUCGUCCAAGUAGACGAAGACGUUGGAUCUGAGCUCCGCUGGUAUCACCCGAUCCAUGAGUCGCACCAAGCGUUGUGCCGCGUUGCACAGUCCGAACGGCAUCAUUCGGAAUUGGUACAACGGCCUGCCUGGAACCGUGAACGCAGUGUACUCCUUGCUCUUCUCAUCCAGUUCGAUCUGCCAAAACGCAAACUUCAGGUCAACGCUGGAGAUGUAAUGCGUCUGGUCUAUUCUGGAGAGGAUUCCUUCUAUACUGGGCAGAGGGUAUGCAUCUUUGAUAGUCAAGGCGUUCAACUUCCGGGCAUCCAGGCAGAACCGGUCUUUCCCUGGCUUCGACACCACUGUUGUGCGAUUGCUCCACGGGCUUUUGCUCUCCUCGAUGACACCCAGCUACAACAUCUUGUCGAUUUCGUCUUCGACCACCUUCUGCUUCGCCGGAGACAUCGGAUACGGACGAUCCUUAAAGACCCGAGCUCCUUCCAUCAGCUCGAUGGAAUGCCUCUCCAUGCUGGUGACUCCGAGGCCGUCCCUCUCAAAGAAAGGCUCCAGGAUUCGGGUUCCUCCCUUACCUCGUCCUCAUCUUCCUGGUCGGCAUAGUGCUCCAUCUGGCUGGCAUGGAUUUCCUCCGCUGCCUUGACGCCUCUCGUCGCCGGCUUCCCCACGACGGCUGGAGCUAGUCCGAAGGCUCGCCAGAAGUCGACUCCGAAGUACGCCGUUUGUUCCAGGCAGCUCCAAGCGUCCGAUGAUGGAUCGAUCUUCGCCAGAAGCCGUACGGACUACCGAAAAAUACGGUUGGACGGUAACUCCCAGCGCUUCCACGAGCUCUCGACAGCCUUUGCCCAGCACACUUACGCUGGCGCCUGUAUCCAACAAGCCGGUGAGCUGCUUGCCCAAGGUCUCCACGUCGGCGAAG